CCUACGGGUGGCAGCAGUCGAGAAUUUUUGGCAAUGGGCGAAAGCCUGACCAAGCGAUGCCGCGUGCGGGAUGAAGGCCUUCGGGUUGUAAACCGCUGUCAGUGGGGAGGAAAGCUUUGUGAAGAGCAAGGCUUGACCUAUCCGCAGAGGAAGUGUGGGCUAAGUUCGUGCCAGCAGCCGCGGUAAGACGAACCACACAAACGUUAUUCGGGGCUACUGGGCUUCGUGGGUGCGGAAGCUGCGCAGGUGUGAAAUACCUCGGCUCAACCGAGGAACUGCGCCCAAAACUACUGUGCUUGAGGAAGAUAGAGGUAAGCGGAACUUACGGUGGAGCGGUGAAAUGCGUUGAUAUCGUAAGGAACACCUGUGGCGAAAGCGGCUUACUGGGUCUUUUCUGACGCUGAUGCACGAAAGCUAGGGGAGCAAACGGGAUUAGAUACCCCUGUAGUC
This 450-nucleotide ribosomal RNA is filed under the name uncultured bacterium. RNAcentral's name for it is "partial 16S ribosomal RNA". It matches the Rfam family "Bacterial small subunit ribosomal RNA", at positions 338 to 795 of the family's 1533-position model. The record is from RNAcentral.